CCUGGUAUUCUCUCUAAAUAAUGGAAUUAUCAUUCAUCAUAUAAUGACUCUGUUGAACUAUCUGAUGAUGGUUGGGUUGACCGAGCCAUCCUCGAGCCUGAUCAUUCAUUAGGUAGAAUCACUGAGUAAGUUUAUGUUAAUGGUUUGACCUAACCAAAAUAUUCAGUGGAGGUCCAUCACCUAUUGAAAUAAAAUAUGAGGCUAAAUUAAAUAC
Molecule: long non-coding RNA, 214 nt
Filed under: Elaeis guineensis (African oil palm)
Lineage: Eukaryota; Viridiplantae; Streptophyta; Magnoliopsida; Arecales; Arecaceae
Description: long non-coding RNA (EGUI_LNC055283)
Source: RNAcentral